UAACCUGCCUGGUAGCGGGGGAUAACUAUUGGAAACGAUAGCUAAUACCGCAUAAGAGUAGAUGUUGCAUGACAUUUGCUUAAAAGGUGCAAUUGCAUCACUACCAGAUGGACCUGCGUUGUAUUAGCUAGUUGGUGGGGUAGCGGCUCACCAAGGCGACGAUACAUAGCCGACCUGAGAGGGUGAUCGGCCACACUGGGACUGAGACACGGCCCAG
RNAcentral lists this ribosomal RNA (217 nucleotides) under uncultured bacterium. Its description in RNAcentral is "partial 16S ribosomal RNA". It matches the Rfam family "Bacterial small subunit ribosomal RNA", at positions 122 to 334 of the family's 1533-position model. The record is from RNAcentral.